GCACCUCACAACAAUCCGGUCGAUUCUCUUCAGUGUUUUGACACGGGUCACACUGGUGCUAUAGAGACUCAACGUGAAUCCAGAUGGCCCUCCUCUUCCUGUGGAGCCUGUCUCUACAACUUUGAUACACGA
Scophthalmus maximus (turbot) is the source of this 132-nucleotide small nucleolar RNA. Ensembl annotates it as small nucleolar RNA, H/ACA box 55. Its record names the gene SNORA55. The record is from Ensembl. NCBI's taxonomy places the organism in Eukaryota, Metazoa, Chordata, Actinopteri, Pleuronectiformes, Scophthalmidae.